GCGCCGCCUCAGCCCUCAGCCCUCAGCCUCCGCCCUCAGCCCUCAGCCUCCGCCCUCAGCCUCCGUCCCCGGCCCUCAGCCUGCGUUCCCGGCCCUCAGCCUCCGCCCUCAACUCUCAGCCUCCGUCCUCAGCUCUCAGCCUCCGUCCCCCGCCCCGCUUCCCUCGCCGGGAGCCCCGGCCCCGCCAAAGCCCAGCCCCGGCCGUGUGGAAGUCUUCUCUGGAGGCAGCUCUGCUCUCUGGUGGAGUUUGAGGCCAGAAGAUGGAACUCCCUGGCUGCCACCCACCUGCAGCAGCAGCUACAGCUGGGAUCAGCUGUUAUAUAAAUGUCUCUGUAUUAUACUGGAAAUUGAACACUGACAGCGUAGGAGAGACAUGUGAAGAGGAGGAGGAGGAAGAAUUGUUCCAGCAGUGGUGGAUGUAUGUUUGGAUGGUGCAGGUGCCCACUUCAUUCACUGCAUCCCUUCAGCACCAAGAGUUCAACCCAGUGCUGGCUAAUUCCAGGGCCUGAAACUGUAUCUACAUGCAAAUCUCAUCCUUUGGAAUCAACUUUCCUUUGUGUCCUGAUAGCUGUCUUCUUUCAAAAAAAAAAUCCAGUGUUGCCAUUGACCUUGAGUAUUUUUAAGAGGGAAGAGCAGAGGAGGCAAAUAAGUGCAAUUUCAGCCCUUGUUUACCAGUCAUCCCUGAAUGUGCCAAAUGCCACAGCUGCCACUGACUUUGAGGAACCCUGGUAUUUGAAUGAAGCACUGUGGAAAUGGCAGUGGAUAUUACAUGGGAUGGCCCUCACAUGCUCAGCUCCAUUAGCUUGGACAAUUCAAGGGGAUCUCAGCUGGGUUUCCUGGCCAGGUUACAUAGGUCUCCUGGAAGGCAAGUGGUGCUGCUGGAGGAAAAACCAAUCGGUUCAGAGGUCUGGGCCAGUUCUCCAAGUGCUCUACUGCCUCCUUUGUUUCCAACUGUUCUAUUUCCCAAGAAAACAAACAUCUCCACUACAACUUCCAAGUAGAAUGUGGAAGCAGCACAAUCUCCUGAGAUCUGGUUUCCAGACAAAGGGAGUUCAGACAGAAAUUGGAGCUUCUGGUUGUGUUUUGAACUCUGCCUGCCCCCGGUGUUCUCUCUCCUUGAACUGGCAAUAGGAAUUGCAUCUCACUCAUCUGGCUGAACAGUGGCUGCAGUUGCCUUUGACUCGUGUGACUUUAAACAGGACAUUGCUACAAGACUUGAACAAAUACACUGGACUCUAUGAAACCAUCAGAUUUAACUGUCCCUGUGGUACGCACUCCUGGAAACUUGCUAAUUCAUUACGUAACAAAGCAAUUCUCAUGCUGACUGAAAAAAAGAAAAAGCUAGAAUUAUUUUCAAUGACAUAUUCUUUAUUCUUUAUUUUUAUUCAUUAUUAUUUAAAAAGUUAUAUAUUUCAUAUUAAGAGCUACUCACCCUAUGGUAAAAUGUCUUUCAUCUCCUGUAUAAACUUUCUAAAAAUUUGAAAUUCUAUUCAAAGAUUUGGGAGUCCUAAGAGCAGCCUCUGCUGAUGCAUAAGGAAAUUGUUUCUCAAUUUUUCCAGUGGAUGCAUGAGAUUUUUUUUGCAUAUCCACAAGAAGUUUGUAAGAACUGUUCGGUGUUUGUAUGUCACUUGGUAAAUAUAAAAGCCUUCACGGAUUAUAAAUUUAAAGUAACUCAAGUAAAUAAGAGGAUCAGCAUUAAAAAUCUCGGAUGUUAUGAACAAUGUAGUUGAAACCACAAUGGUUUUACGGUGCAACAAUAGAAUUAUGGUACUCUAAUGAGUAGGAUGUCCCUGUCUCUUUCCCCUCCAUAAUAAAUGGGAGUACUGGUGCA
Molecule: long non-coding RNA, 1831 nt
Organism: Cyanistes caeruleus (blue tit)
Lineage: Eukaryota; Metazoa; Chordata; Aves; Passeriformes; Paridae
Source: Ensembl